Long non-coding RNA from Serinus canaria (Common canary), 1770 nucleotides. The record is from Ensembl. NCBI's taxonomy places the organism in Eukaryota, Metazoa, Chordata, Aves, Passeriformes, Fringillidae.
AAACGGGGAGAGAACCCCAAAAAACAGGGAGGGAACCCAAAAAUGGGGGGAGAACCACAAAAAAACAGGGAGGCAAACCAAAAAGCAGGAGAGAACCCCAAAAAAUGGGGGGAGAACCACAAAAAACGGGGAGAGAACCCUAAAACCGGGGAGAGUAACCCAAAAAUGGGGAGAAAACCCCAGAACUGGGGGCAGAACCCCAGAAAUGGGGGAGAACCCCAAAACCAGGGAGACCCCCAGAAAUGGGAGAACACCAAAACCACAGAGAACCUCAAAAACGGGGGGAGAACCCAAAAAAGGGGAGAGAAACCUAAAAAUGGGGAGAGACAGAACCCCAAAAAUGGGGCACAGAACCCCAAAAAUGGUGAGUCCAAGAAAAGGGGAAUAAAUGCCAAAAAUGGGGAGAGAACCCCAAAACAGAGAAUCAAAAAAAAAGGGGAAAUAAUCUCAAAAAUGGAGAAGAAACGCCAUGAAUGGAGACCCCAAAAAAGAGGAGAGAACCCCAAAGACGGACAAGAACCUCAUAAAUGGGGAGAGAUCCCCAAAAACAGAGAAUCCCAAAAAAAGGGAGAGAAACCUAAAAAAGGAGAGCGAAUUCCAAAGUUGGAGAGAGACAUAACCCCAAAAUUUGGGCAGAGAACCCAAAAAAUGGAGGAAAGAACCCCAAAAUAGGGAGAGAACCUAAAAUUUGGCAGAGAACGACAAACAUGGGCAGAGAACCCUAAAAAAUGGGGAAAGAAGGAUCAGGGACCCCAAAAUGGGGAGAGAACUCUAAAAAUAGGGGGAGACAAAGCAGGGACCCCAAAAUUCAUGUGGGGGGAGAGAGAAACUGGUCAGGAAUCCCAAAACUGGGAUGGGGGGACAAAAAAAAAAUCAGGAACCCCAAAACUGGUGGGGGACAUCUCAGAACCCCAAAAAUGGAAGGAAAAACAUCAGGACCCCAAAAACAGGGGGAGAAAAUCGUCAAGACCCAAAAACUGGGGGGGGAGGGGGGGUGUGGAAAGAUCAGAACCCCAUAAACUGGGGGGGCACAGAGAGCCCCCAUUUUCCCCCUUUUUCUCCUCUUUUUGCAGUUUCCUGCCCCGUGUCCCCAAUUCUUGCCCCGUUUUUCCCUCCCUGCCCCAUUUUCCUGCAAUUCCCCCCAAUUUCUCCUCAUUUCCCCCAUUCCUGCCCUAUUUCUCCACCCCCGCCCGUUUUCCCCCAUUCCUGCCCCACUUUUCCUCAUUUUUUGCCUUCAUUAUUCCCCAUUUCCCCCAAUUUUCCCCAUUCCUGCCCCAUUUUUUCCCCUUCCCAUCCCAUUUCCCUCUUCCCCCAAUUUUCCCCAUUCCCAGCUCCCACUCCUGUCCCAUUUUCCCCAAUUUUCCCCCAUUUCCACCCAUUUUCCCAAUUUUUCCCCAUUUCCCCCCCAUUUUUCCUAUUUUUCCCCCCAAUUUUUCCCAAUUCCCCCCAAUUUCCCCCGUUUUUGCCAGUUUCCCCCCAGUUUUUCCCAAUUUCUGCCCCAUUUUUCCCAAUUUUCCCUGUUUCCCCAAUUUCCCCCAUCUCCCCAUUUUCUCAAUCCCUCCCAAUUUUUCCCCAUUUUCUCCCAUUUCCCCCCCAUUUUUCCCAUUUUUUCUCAAUUCCCCCCAUUCCCAUUUUCUCCAAAUUUUUCCCCAUUUCCCCUGUUUUCCUCCCAGUUUUUCCCAAAUUUUUCCCCAUUUUCUCCUCAAUUUUUCCCAUUUUCCCCCCAGUUUUUCCCCCAACUCCCCCUGUUUUUUCCCCAAUUUUCCCGUU